AUCAGAGGAGACUUCUUCACUAAAAAGAAGAGUUUAAUAUCAGACUUUUUAUUCUUUCAGUAAGAUUUUGUAUUUCACAGUCUCUACCCUUCUGUUUAAGAAUCUGAAAACAGGCAUUUUCUGGUUUACAUUGAAACACAGGAGUCUUAAAUAUCUCUUCAGCUGCUUCCUAAUGUUUGUUCCACAGGAAGGGAGUUAGUUCAUAGCAUAGUGUGCUUUGUUUUGUCCACAUCAGCAAAGCAGAUAAACUCAGCCUCUCUUCAUCUGGGAAAGGGGCAGAAUAACACCAGGAGACAGGGCAAUACUGAAGGAUUAUUGUUAAUGUUUCAGGGAACAAGACGACUUUCAGGUACCUGGAGUUGUUCCUUUGACUUGGCAUUUCCCUUUUCUGAACUUCAAGAGGUUCCUGUCAGCCUGUUCCUCCAUUUGCAAACAUUUGGUGUAGCAAUCACUCCUUCCAGUUUUGUAUCAUCUGGAAACCUGUUGAGAGUGCGCUCUGUCCCACUGUCCAGAUAUUUCCCCGCAUCUCAGGGAUCUAAAAUUACUGAAGGCUGGUCUUACCAGUAGAGGCCAAUGAGGAAAGAACAGGCAACUGCUCCUUCUCACCAUCCUGACCUGUCCUUCCCAAAGAGCCUGUAUCCAGCCUUUGCAG
Molecule: long non-coding RNA, 652 nt
Organism: Chiroxiphia lanceolata (lance-tailed manakin)
Lineage: Eukaryota; Metazoa; Chordata; Aves; Passeriformes; Pipridae
Exons: 4
Source: RefSeq, a predicted model, not a curated record